Molecule: RNA transcript, 3217 nt
Organism: Budorcas taxicolor (takin)
Lineage: Eukaryota; Metazoa; Chordata; Mammalia; Artiodactyla; Bovidae
Gene: METTL6
Gene name: methyltransferase 6, methylcytidine
Exons: 8
Source: RefSeq, a predicted model, not a curated record
GCCGCCCGGGGAGUCCGGGUUCGAGGUCUCUCUGCGGCGCGGGCGUGGGUGUUGGCCCGACGAAGCGUUUUGGUUUGUUUUUGUUGUUUUUUUUCCCGCGGUGGCUCCCAAGUUCUGCUUCUGAGGCUGCGCCCGGCUGGGGGCUCAGCGCGCCCGGCCCCACCCUUCAGGGGAACCUAGGAACUGCUGACUGGGGCGCCCGGCGCGCGGUGGACCAGGCUCACGCGGGUCGCCGCCGCCCCUCGCGGCUGGGCGGCCCGGCUCAUCCGCAGGGUCCUGGCGGCCCCACUCUCCGCGUCCCUGAGCCUCUUUUUCGUCCCUUUCGCGCGCCCACGGCGGCGCGAGGGCCUCAGUUCCCGAAAGGGACUCCCCCUGGGGUUCAUGAGACAGACUCAGGCCACCCGGGCGUAGUAGCUCCGUUUUCCCCGAAAAACGCCGUCUCUCGCGUCCUUGGCGACGGUGACCGACCGCCUCCGGCUUGGACAGCCGUCGUGGUUGUUUUUAAAGACACCCCCGUUUCACGGACACCGAACCCUGAGGAACCGUAAGCUUUCUCAGUCAGUUCCUGAGAGUGACUUUUUUCCCUGACUAAAGCGGCUUACUGACUGUUGGGGUUGGAAUUAAGCCUUUCUGUGCGUGAGAGCCCUGGCCACUGGAUGUCAGCCCCCUGCAGGCGGGGGUCUGUGUCUUGCUCUUUGUGACCUCUUCUGUCCUGGGGUAGGGCUUUGUGUAGGGUCAGCAUCUAGUAAAUGUUUGCGGAAUUGAAAUGUUAAGUGAAAGAACUAAUCAAGAACCGCUAACUGAGCAUCUUAAAAAAAAAAAACCUGUUCUAGAACCCCCCACCGGAAUGUCUUUUUUUUUUUUUUUCUUUCCUGCGAAGUAUCCGAUGCUGCUUCAGGCUUGAACCCAGCCUGAGGGACCACAUCUGAGAGGACCCUGCCUGUGUCUGUGGUAUCCGCUUGAAGUCCUCAGGUUGUUGAGGAAUGGGCCAUCUCCAGCAGUGUUAAAUGUUCAACAUAUGACCAUCCACGUAGGAGAUGGCUGCUUUGCAAAGGAGAGGGCUGCAGACAAGGAUUCUCAGCUCUGAAGAAGAGGAGAAACUGAAGAGAGACCAAGCUUUAGUGUCUGAUUUUAAACAGCAGAAACUGGAAAAAGAGGCUCAGAAGAACUGGGACCUUUUUUACAAAAGAAACAGCACUAAUUUCUUCAAAGAUAGACACUGGACCACCAGAGAGUUUGAGGAGCUCAGAUCAUGUAGAGAGGUUGAAGAUCAGAAAUUGACUAUUCUUGAAGCUGGCUGUGGGGUUGGGAACUGUUUAUUCCCACUUUUAGAAGAAGAUCCAGAUAUCUUUGCCUAUGCCUGUGAUUUUUCUCCAAGAGCUGUGGAAUACGUCAAGCAAAAUCCUCUUUAUGACACAGAAAGAUGCAAGGUGUUCCAGUGUGAUCUGACCAGAGAUGACCUUCUGGAGCACGUGCCCCCAGAGUCUGUGGAUGCUGCCACACUGAUAUUUGUGCUCUCUGCAGUUCACCCUGAUAAGAUGCACCUUGUCUUACAAAACAUUUACAAGGUAUUAAAACCAGGCAAAAGUGUCCUGUUUCGUGACUAUGGGCUGUAUGAUCACGCCAUGCUUAGGUUUAAAGCCGGGAGCAAACUUGCAGAAAACUUCUAUGUUAGACAAGAUGGGACCAGAUCAUAUUUUUUCACUGAUGGUCUCUCCAGAAAGUAUCUUCCAGUAUGUGCCUGGAAGAUACCGUCCUAGCUACCCGUGGUCUGGGAGCCAAGCCAGCGAAGAGUGGGGUGGAUCUCAGCCCUUGGCACGUCUUCCUAAGAAUGACCUGAAAUUUUCAGCUGAAAAAGAAGUAGUCUUCUUUUGAAGAAUCCCUUCAAAGUCUACGUUCAUUUGAAAAUGUGGUAACCGUCUUAGUUGAUGUCCCCAAAAGCAGAACCCAAGGCUAAAACGCUGGAGCUGGCCACAGCGGCCCUGCAAACGCGGAUAGACCUGGAAACCAAUGCGCUAAUAGAGAGGAGCCAGACACAAAAGACCACCCAUUGUUUGAUCCCAUUUACAUGAAAUUUCUGCAAAGAGGAGAUACUAUGGCUAUGGAAAGCAAAUCAGUGGUUUCCCAGAGGCUGCUGGGAACAGGGAUUGAGUACAAAAGAGCGUGAGGAAAAGCUUCAGGGUGCUGGAACUGUCCUAAAACUGGAUUGUGGUGGUGGCUGCAUAGUUGUGAAAACGUAUGAUAAGCCAAUUACACAAUCACGCUUUCUGAGGGAGAAAGAAAAGGAAAAACAGGAGGGGGGAGGGAGAAAAGCCCUGGGAACUGUAGGAAGCAACUUCUAGUUGCUGUGGGGUAGACGAGCUCCCUGAUGAAAGAGUUACAGCACCUUCACUCGCAAGUGACAUCCAGCAGCCCCUGAAAGCAAACCUUGGCCCCCAACACACCCUCGAGGGGAAAACAGGACCUGUUUUGCACAGGAACUUCAAGAUGAGCCUUCUCCCCUCCCCUCCAACAGGGUGGCCCUCAGCUGCUUCAGGACAAGCAGGUCAGCAUAGCACCAAAUGGGGAACCGUGCAGUUGGGCUUCUGAAUUUUCUAGCAGAUACAUAAAAAAUGGAAGCAGAAAUAGACUGCAUUAACUUUCACAAUAUGUUUCCUUUAACCCAGUAUGUCCAAAGUGUGAUCCUUUCAGUGUAUCAUCAAUAUAAAAACUAUUGCAAUAGUUUACUUUCUUUCUUUCAUACGAAGCCUUCAAAGUCUGUUAUGAGUCGAAUGGCAUUUUUCAAAUUUGACCAGCUUCAUUUUCAAGUGUUGGAAGGCCACAGGUGGCUACGGCCUUGGACAGCACAGGCCUAGAGGCAUCUUGUCAAUACUCCAGAGACUUCAGAUUGUUCGAGGAGAGAAUCGUUUUCCUGCAGACGCCCACUGCCAACUAAACAAACAAUGAAAGGAGACACGGGUUCAAUCCUUGGUCUGGGAAGAUCCCACAUGCUGUGCAGCAACUAAGCCCUUUGCCACAACAACUGAGCCUGUGCUCUGGAGCCCAGGAGCUGCGACUCCUGAGCCCACAAGCCCCAGCUAAUGGAGCCUGAGUUCUGCAGGCCUGCGCUCCUCCACGAGAGGCCCCACCCCAGUGAGAAGCCCGCACACCGCAAGGCGAGAGGAGCCCCUGCUCACCACAACUAGAGAAGACCCCGAGCAGCAAGGAAGACCCCGCA